GACAUACCUUACAACUUUAAACACUUUUUAUGUUCACAUGAUAUAAUUAUAAUGCAUAUUAUCAUGGUAUCUUCUUGUACAAUUCAAAAUUCCUCCAAUUAAGUAACAUGUAAAAUAUCAUACAUGAUCAUUCAAUGAAAGCACAGUUUUUAUUUGAAAGAAAAAAAAUAUUUAUCCAUCUCUUGUGUACAUGAAAACUCCCAUCCUUUUUUCUCCUUGAAGAAAUGGAAUCCCCCACCUUACAUCUUUAAAAGUUCUAACCCAAAUUCCUCUCUCUCUCUCUCUCNN
This 288-nucleotide long non-coding RNA is filed under the name Elaeis guineensis (African oil palm). Its description in RNAcentral is "long non-coding RNA (EGUI_LNC068967)". The record is from RNAcentral. Lineage: Eukaryota; Viridiplantae; Streptophyta; Magnoliopsida; Arecales; Arecaceae.